GCCCCCUUCUGAUCUCCAAAGGUGCUAGACAUAGGCAUACACACACACACACACACACACACAUUUAAAAAAGUAUUAUGAAUGACUGGAUUGUUAGUUUUUCUCUGCUGCAUUUUGGGGGAAAUGAUGUACUCAAACUUGACCAAGGUAGAUAACUAUGUUAAAUACGAAGGUACUCGGCCUAACAAUAGCACAUGGUGAUCUUACCUGUCUGUUCUCUUGAGUGCCAGAUCACCAGGGCUAGGACAGAGAAACAGGGUGCCUACUGCUCUUCUUGGAGUAAGGGCGGUACUGUUUCCUGCUGCUGUGUCUGGGUGUGUCCCUCCAUCCUGGAGGAAUGUGAGAGUUCAUGUAUUUUGCAAUGGCUGCUAUGUGAAGGACUCCAAUUUCAGUUAUGACAAGCAACUUGAGGCUGUUUAGUUCCUGACUUCUUCCCCAGACACUUGUUUUCCUCUGUCUUGAGCUCUGUGGGUCACUGCUGUUUUACACUCUGGGCAAUGAAGGCUUUGUGCCUAAGAUUUAUAAGCUAUGAGAAUGUUCGCAGGAAACCAGGGGGGAAAUACUGGUGGCAGACUACAAAGAGCAAAAAUAUUUAAAUGCCCAGAAAGCAAAUUAAAUACUUUUGGACUUAAUUGUUAAAAGCCUUGGAAACCAUGUGAGUGAGUGUUCACUGGGUUUGUAAGGACACUGGUUGUCAAGGAAUUCAAUGUCUGGCCACCAGUCAAGGAAAUCUGCGAAGUCUUAGAGAUUUGGAGUGAGUCUAUACUUUAAUGUGUUGUUUGAUGGUGCUCAGAAGGCCUAGAAAUUUAAGCCACAUCCUUCCCCUUUGAUUUUGACUAGUCACCUCAUCGUUUUUAAGCCUGUUUUUAAAAGGUUGUUCUGAGUGAAGCCUUUUGCUUCCUGAGAUUGGGCUGGCUCUCCAUCCUUUGGACCCUUAGUUUCUUCUGGAACUUUGGAGCAUCUAUCUAUCUCCCUCAUCCCAUACCAGUAUUCAGAGCAUUUAUUGAGUAAUAUACUGAGAUUGGGAUUUCUUUCUUUCUUUCCUUUUUUUUUUUUUUUUUUUUUUUUGGCUGUUCGGUUCUUGGUGUAGAUUCAAUGUAGUUUUUCUUCAUCUGGCAGGUUACUGUCAACAUGAGUCAUAGGCCUUAUCUUUACAUCUAGUCCUUGGAUGUGUUCAGUUAACAGACCAGAUACAAGCCAUGGCACCUGCACGCAGCUUGGGGUCAGGCUGCCCCAUGACAAGGUGACAGAAUUUAAAAGGAGGCCUACAGGCAUCCGGUGAAGUUCUCUGUGUUCUAGCCAGUGAGGGCAGAAUGAAUGCCCUGGCUGAGUCAGAACUGCCAGGCCCCAAGCACCCUGUUCAAGCUGCCAAAUAGAGUUAUUAGGAACAGCCAUUCCCACCAGGAAAGAAAACAAUGUCUUUGUAGUUCUGAGAUGGCGUAUGUCCGUAUAUUUUUUCUGUAGCCAGUCUGGUGCUGCAUGGAACAUGUAGAAAAAGACAAGUCCAAGUGUCAGGUUGGGUCUAAUAGCUGAGGCCUAUAUUUGAGCAAGUUACAAAGUCCAUUUGAGCCUCAUUUUGCACAUUAGGAUAGGAACAAAACCUAGUUCUCCACUAUGAAAUGUAAUGAUGUCCAGGCAUUCAUAUUUCAUGACCCCUGCCUGGUACAUACUAGGCAUGAUGAGUUAAGCUGGCACAUACUGAGCAUAAUAAAUUAAGCCGACUUCUUCAUGGAUGGUAGACUAGGCACUUGACUGUCUUGCAUCCAGAAGCACCUUGACAGGACUAUGGAAGUUAACUUGAGUUGUCAGACCUUGAAGUCAGAUAGAAUGCAGUCGCCAAAGAAAUCAGCAAACUGAGUCAGACUUGUUAGUUCUACCUAAGAAAUUCACCCAUUUAGCUUCAGGAAUAGCUGAUUGCAGGAUUCAAACAUCUUCAUAAGUCCCUCCCAUUCUUAGCUUUCUUCACGGUUGCCUCCCUGUAGUGGAGUAUUUGUGUACACUGUGUGAAGAUGGAUCACUGAGUGGUUUAAUAAAGAUUUGAAUGACCAGGAGAGAAUAGGCAGGACUUGCUGGCAGAGAGGAACUCCAGGUGAAUCUAGGCAUGCAAGAGAUGCCAGAAAUACUGAGGAAGUUGGACAUAUGGUAUAGAGGAGAGGUAACCAAGCAGAGUGUAGACUAAUAAAAGCAGGUUAAAUUAAGUUGUGAGAGCUAGUUGGAGAAAAACCUAAGCUAAGGCCAAGCUUUCAUAGUGAAUAUAAGUCUCUGUGUCCUUAUUUGGGGCUGAUGGCCAAAAAGAAAGUCCAACAACAUUUGGUGCUUAAUGGACAGAGAAGUUACAACAGCCAGCCAGAGUCGCUGUUGGCUGCUGCUCGGCUGGGAUUCCAGAAAGCAGGGGAGGGUAAAUGUAGCUCUGAGGUGGAUGACCACCAGCAUGAAGCUAGGCUCUCACAGAACCUGAGUGGGGGAGGUGGGGCGUGAGUCACCGGCACUACUCCAGGUUGUAGCCUAACAGUUUAAGAUUUGUCUCCUGCCACCAGAGAACACUGCACGUGCAAGACUGCAGGCAUGCAAAAAGUCAGGUCCAGACUUGGAAAAAAAACUCUAAGCAGGUUUAAAAUGUUUCAAACUAUGCUUAGGUACUAAAGAAAGAAAAGAAAAUGAGUAUAGAUAGAAAGUAAAAUAAUGUAAAAAGAAUAAGCCACAUGAAAAAGGGAAAAACAUAGGGCAUCUGAAUCCUGUAUGGUGUUUGGUUGACUUUAAAUUUUUUAAAUGCUAACGAACAACAACUACAAAUGACAGCUGCUGAGAGAUACUGGAUUGUAGAGAAAAAACAAAAACUACUGAAUUAAUCCAGCCUGUAUGUUCUAAGGAUUUCAUAACUUUAGAGUGGAAGUCAGAAAAUGUGUUGUGUUGGGGGAGAGGCUGUGAUUUAGUUUCCACAGUAAACAAAAAGCUAUGGAUUUUUUUUCUGAAGUUAAUAAAGACUGGAUUUGACUGGGGGAGACCUCCUAAAAAUCUUGGCUAUAGACAUAAAAGAAAAACUACAAGACAGAUGAUGUAUAAGCUGAUCCCUCUACAUGGAACAGCUCUGAGACUGGGUGAGACAUGAUAACUCUUGUUGACUACAGAGUCCUCAUGACUUAUUAUUAUGGUCCUUUCAUGUGACACAGAUGGAGCUUUAUAUUUACAGUUUGGUUAUGCAGUUCAAAUUGACUUAUAAAGUUAAUAGAUGCCUUUAACCUGCUAGUCACAGAGCAGAGAAUCAUCUUUAGCAGAUUUGUGUACACUAUACCUUCUAUACUUGUGUUAAUGAAGAUAUUUAUGUUACCUUUAAAAGUUUGUGUGUUUUCAAGGGGAAAAAAGGACCAGAAACCAUUAAAGGAAGCAAGUAGCCCAUGUGAUCGAGCCUCUCAGAAUGCCUCUGUGCAGUUUUCUCAAAAAUCUGCAUCUAGAAUAACUUCAAAGCUGCUAGCUGAGAUGGUCCAGCCUCACAGACUACUCCAGCGAGGACUUCAGAUAAGCCCUACACUUUCCCUUCACUGGAUAACAGCUAGCUCUCUCAGGACUUGACCAUUAUCUCAAUCUUCUUGGGUGCCCUAAAGGUGCUGUUGCCCCCAGACAAUGGGAAACAGUCUAGAGAGCACAACACCCACAUUCCCAAGAGGUGGGAUAGGUGAUUUUUGGUCAUUCAGUGGAUUAUGGAUGUUUGUCAUUGUUUAUGGGGGGUUUGCUUACAAAUUAUUACUGGUCAUGGUCAGCAGAGGAGAUUCCCAUUCUGAAAAGAAAAUAGGGAUGGUAGGAUAAAAGAUAGAUUGUUGAACCUGACUUUAAACUAAAAAAAUUUUUAAAUAUUAUACAUUGGUAUGGAUUUUUGUAUACUGACACAAAUUUAAGAUUAUUUUUGUUAUACUGUAUAUAUGUUUCUACUCUUGUUUGAGGUAUUGUACCUAUGCAGCUCAUUUGAUAAUGUAAUGUAAAUUUCUAUUCCUUGAAAGUUAUUAUCACAAAGUAUUUAGGAUAAUUAAGAAAUAAUAAUAAUACUUAGUUAUCUAACAGUCAAAUUUGUGGCCAUGUUAGGUGUGUUUUCAAGGUUAAACAGAAAUAUAUUUUAGAUACAUAAGUGACCCUCAAACACUUCAAAGAUCUACAUAUAUGGCAUUUAAGAUGUUUUUAAUAACAUAAGGCUUUUCAUGACAGCGAAAUACAUCUGCUCCUGGAAGCACCAAUUUACUUCAAAAACGAAUAAUGGGCAUUGAAGAAGCUCCAUAUGGAGUUACUUUCAUUGUGGCAAAGUUAGUUACUUGGCAAGAAACUGCCCUUACCUCAACUGCUAACAGUAUGUUGUCCAAAUUGGACAAGCAGGACACAAAAGAAAACAACUUCUGAACUUUGCCAAGACAGAAAGAAGAGCAGCCAUGUGGAUGAUGACCUACGUGAAGAAGUGGCCAUGACCAAGAUGUGGGAGCAUCAUGUGGAAUGUGGACCAGGAGGAAGCAGAACCUGACUGGAGGAAGAGAGCAUCCUCAUACAGAUGUCAGCUGAUGCUUUCCAUGGUGGCUCUCCCUUUCUCAACUUCAGGAAAACAAUUUAUGAGUGGGAGAGGUGGCAGAGGAAGGUGCCCUACAGACUUAUUACCUACAGCUGAAUCUUAUGAAAGCCUAUUCUCAAUUGAAGUUCCUUCCUUCCAGGCAGUAGGGUAUUUUCUUAAUUAGUGAUUGGUGGGGGAGGGUCCAGCCCAUUGUGGGUGGGGUCAUCCCUGGGCUGGUGGUUCUGGGUUCUGUAAGAAAGUAGACUGAGCAAGCCAAUGAGCAGCACCCUCCCAUGACCCGUCUCCAGGUUCAAACCCUAUUUGGGCUCCUGUCCUGGUUUCCUGCAACGAUGGAUUACAAUGUGCAAGUCUAAGCCAAAUAAACCCUUUUGUCUACA
This is a long non-coding RNA of Mesocricetus auratus (golden hamster), 4926 nucleotides long. RefSeq lists it as uncharacterized. Lineage: Eukaryota; Metazoa; Chordata; Mammalia; Rodentia; Cricetidae. The record is from RefSeq and is a predicted model, not a curated record. The transcript is spliced from 2 exons.